This is a non-coding RNA of Danio rerio (zebrafish), 791 nucleotides long. Lineage: Eukaryota; Metazoa; Chordata; Actinopteri; Cypriniformes; Danionidae. The record is from RefSeq and is a predicted model, not a curated record.
UCACAAUUUCCUCCCCCUUUCUCUCCCUUCAUGUAAUUUAUACACUUCAGAAAGUAUUCAACUAGUUCCAUACUCCAUUCCAGUCGGUGGCGGUAAUGCACCUAUAAGUCUGGUUGCCAACCGCCAGUAAAACCCAAAGAAGAAGAAGAAGAAGUAUCACCGCGUUUACUUCCGCGUUUUGUCUAAGGCCGCGGUCCAGCUUCCGGUCUGGGUGAUUUUAAGCGGAGGUAAGCAGUAUUAUGGCAGAGUCGUCAAUAUUUACUCGCUGUUUGCGAGUAAAUUAUGGUCAACGAUGUGCAAAUGAUUGUCCGGAUGUGCUCUACAACACCGCAGAGCAAAGCUUGAGAAAGGUUUCAAGUUUUAUGCAUCUUCCUACCUGUGCAAUUAUGAAGGUAACAUUAUGAGAUUCAGAGCUAGAAAAUUUUAUGUGUUACUUCAUCCUGGAGCGGACAUCAGUCAGAAGAUCCAUGCCAUCGCCUGCUAGUUUAUAGCUCCUGCUCUUGUGUGGCUGAGAGUGGGAUAUGCAAACAUUUGGUUGCUUUGCUUUUCCAGACAGCCCAUUACUCUGAAAUGUGUAAUGUGUGUUAUCACAUGAACAAUUGUUUGGAAUGGAUCAAUUAUGUGUUAAGUUCCAUGAAACAGAGGGGUGAUUUUAUUUAUUUAUUUAAUACGUAUAAGCCCAAAUACCUCUCUAUGCACAAGUUACAGAAGAAGCACCUAAUUCAAGAAAACAACUGAUUCAAUGUCAUUGUUUCUGUUCAUCUGAAUAAAAUAUUUUUUUCAAAAUGUUA